AAAUUGAAGAGUUUGAUCAUGGCUCAGAUUGAACGCUGGCGGCAGGCCUAACACAUGCAAGUCGAGCGGUAGCACAGAGAGCUUGCUCUCGGGUGACGAGCGGCGGACGGGUGAGUAAUGUCUGGGAAACUGCCUGAUGGAGGGGGAUAACUACUGGAAACGGUAGCUAAUACCGCAUAAUGUCGCAAGACCAAAGUGGGGGACCUUCGGGCCUCAUGCCAUCAGAUGUGCCCAGAUGGGAUUAGCUAGUAGGUGGGGUAACGGCUCACCUAGGCGACGAUCCCUAGCUGGUCUGAGAGGAUGACCAGCCACACUGGAACUGAGACACGGUCCAGACUCCUACGGGAGGCAGCAGUGGGGAAUAUUGCACAAUGGGCGCAAGCCUGAUGCAGCCAUGCCGCGUGUGUGAAGAAGGCCUUCGGGUUGUAAAGCACUUUCAGCGGGGAGGAAGGCGGUGAGAUUAAUAACCUCAUCGAUUGACGUUACCCGCAGAAGAAGCACCGGCUAACUCCGUGCCAGCAGCCGCGGUAAUACGGAGGGUGCAAGCGUUAAUCGGAAUUACUGGGCGUAAAGCGCACGCAGGCGGUCUGUCAAGUCGGAUGUGAAAUCCCCGGGCUCAACCUGGGAACUGCAUUCGAAACUGGCAGGCUAGAGUCUUGUAGAGGGGGUAGAAUUCCAGGUGUAGCGGUGAAAUGCGUAGAGAUCUGGAGGAAUACCGGUGGCGAAGGCGGCCCCCUGGACAAAGACUGACGCUCAGGUGCGAAAGCGUGGGGAGCAAACAGGAUUAGAUACCCUGGUAGUCCACGCCGUAAACGAUGUCGAUUUGGAGGUUGUGCCCUUGAGGCGUGGCUUCCGGAGCUAACGCGUUAAAUCGACCGCCUGGGGAGUACGGCCGCAAGGUUAAAACUCAAAUGAAUUGACGGGGGCCCGCACAAGCGGUGGAGCAUGUGGUUUAAUUCGAUGCAACGCGAAGAACCUUACCUGGUCUUGACAUCCACAGAACUUUCCAGAGAUGGAUUGGUGCCUUCGGGAACUGUGAGACAGGUGCUGCAUGGCUGUCGUCAGCUCGUGUUGUGAAAUGUUGGGUUAAGUCCCGCAACGAGCGCAACCCUUAUCCUUUGUUGCCAGCGGUUCGGCCGGGAACUCAAAGGAGACUGCCAGUGAUAAACUGGAGGAAGGUGGGGAUGACGUCAAGUCAUCAUGGCCCUUACGACCAGGGCUACACACGUGCUACAAUGGCAUAUACAAAGAGAAGCGACCUCGCGAGAGCAAGCGGACCUCAUAAAGUAUGUCGUAGUCCGGAUUGGAGUCUGCAACUCGACUCCAUGAAGUCGGAAUCGCUAGUAAUCGUAGAUCAGAAUGCUACGGUGAAUACGUUCCCGGGCCUUGUACACACCGCCCGUCACACCAUGGGAGUGGGUUGCAAAAGAAGUAGGUAGCUUAACCUUCGGGAGGGCGCUUACCACUUUGUGAUUCAUGACUGGGGUGAAGUCGUAACAAGGUAACCGUAGGGGAACCUGCGGUUGGAUCACCUCCUUA
RNAcentral lists this ribosomal RNA (1539 nucleotides) under Klebsiella pneumoniae. RNAcentral's name for it is "bacterial SSU rRNA". It matches the Rfam family "Bacterial small subunit ribosomal RNA". The record is from RNAcentral. Lineage: Bacteria; Pseudomonadati; Pseudomonadota; Gammaproteobacteria; Enterobacterales; Enterobacteriaceae.